Homo sapiens (human) is the source of this 588-nucleotide long non-coding RNA. Ensembl annotates it as MIR133A1 host gene. Its record names the gene MIR133A1HG. The record is from Ensembl. Lineage: Eukaryota; Metazoa; Chordata; Mammalia; Primates; Hominidae.
GGUCACUGAGGAAGAAUAUAAGUUAGCCUCGUAGUGACCAUGUGGAAGUCCUGACCUCGCUUGCAGACUUGACCUCUGGAUGUGACAAGAAAUGCUGAAUCAGCAAAUAGAGUGAACGAACAAUCAAGAUGAGAUGGCUGCUGUUGAUGUGAUUCUCUAGGUUACUACCUUUCUUCCUGCUGCAAAUGCUGCAUGACACUAAGCUUACAGGAUCUAGAAGCAGACUACAAAAAAAGAAGAAAUUCACUCUGAAGACUGAAGAAACACUAGGCUGAUCUUAAGUUUCCGAAAUACACUCUGUAACACUACACUGAUUCUUUGAAUCUCUUGCAAAAAGAAUCAAACCAGGACAAAGUUCAACAGAUAACUGGUCAAAUGCUUAGGAAUGUCUAUGUCCACCAAGAAUAUGGAACCAUUAAUGCCAUGCUUCAGGUAAACUUGUUACAAAAUUUAGUCUUCGAUAAAUUAGUCUCUGCAAAUGAUUUACCAUUGCUCUACAUUAGUAAGCUGAAUGUUUCACUAACAAAUAAGAAAAUAAAAUAUUUCAUGUUUUUACAGCUAACAACUUAGUAAUACCUACUCAGAGUA